Molecule: ribosomal RNA, 253 nt
Filed under: uncultured bacterium
Lineage: Bacteria
Description: partial 16S ribosomal RNA
Rfam family: Bacterial small subunit ribosomal RNA
Source: RNAcentral
UACGUAGGGUGCAAGCGUUAAUCGGAAUUACUAGGCGUAAAGCGUGCGCAGGCGGUUUUGUAAGACUGUCGUGAAAUCCCCGGGCUUAACCUGGGAAUGGCGAUGGUGACUGCAAGGCUAGAGUUUGGCAGAGGGGGGUAGAAUUCCACGUGUAGCAGUGAAAUGCGUAGAGAUGUGGAGGAACACCGAUGGCGAAGGCAGCCCCCUGGGUCAAAACUGACGCUCAUGCACGAAAGCGUGGGGAGCAAACAGG